This 933-nucleotide ribosomal RNA is filed under the name Triticum aestivum (bread wheat). Its description in RNAcentral is "partial small subunit ribosomal RNA". Lineage: Eukaryota; Viridiplantae; Streptophyta; Magnoliopsida; Poales; Poaceae. The record is from RNAcentral.
AUGGGAGGUGAUUAUGUUGUCAUAUCGGUCUUACUAUGCUUUUUGUGUAUAACUUUCCACCUCACCUUUGUUGAAUCGAUAGACGUAGAUGUCAAUCUCCAGACGAAUGAGAAGAACACCACUCUUUUAAGACCUAAGCAUUUCCAUUUUCCUUGGAGAGCUAAUAUCAUGGAUGAAGGAAGCGGCAUUAUUUCCCAUUAUGCAAUGUGGCACACAGAGCCAGGACAAUUCUACGGCCUUCGAGCUGACAUGAGUAUAUGGGCUUCACCAAAUCAAGGAACUUCUCAAGAAUCUGGAGCAUCCUUACAGAUCUAUUGUCAAGAUGGAGGAAACUACAACUUAAUUCAAGUUGGAUUUCAUAUUUCCCCCUCUUUAUACCAUAACAGAGAUAUUCGCUUCUUUACAUAUUGGACCAAGGACUUGAAACCGAAGGGGUGCUACAACUUGCAGUGCUCAGGAUUUGUUUCUGCAAGUCGAGCUAAUCUGGUGCCUGGACAAGCCAUGGCUCCUCCAUCAAUUUAUGGCAAACAAGACCACUACGUUAGGCUUAGCCUCAACAAGGAUCCAAAUUCCGGAGAUUGGGUGGUGUACCGUCAUGAUUUACAGAAACCAUCAUUCUUGGGACAUUUUCCAAAUAAGCUUUGCCCCGGAACACCACGUAUACAAGCCUUGACUGGAUUCGUGAAUUACUUGAAGAAUGCACAUGGUCCUCCAAUGGGUAGCGGCCACUUCCCCGAUUAUGACGAUAAGAGAUCUGCGUACUUCAAGCACAUUCAGAACUACAAUCCAAAUGGUCAUUCUUCCGACCUCUUUGGCAUUCCCAUGAUCAAGUUAGUUGAUAGGCCAGAUUGUUAUGGAGCGAAUAAUUUAUUUCUUGAAUAUAAGAAGGGUUAUAUGUUCAACUAUUGUGGACCAAGUGGUUGUGUUGGUUGA